RNAcentral lists this ribosomal RNA (523 nucleotides) under uncultured bacterium. RNAcentral describes it as "bacterial SSU rRNA". It matches the Rfam family "Bacterial small subunit ribosomal RNA", at positions 8 to 526 of the family's 1533-position model. The record is from RNAcentral.
AGAGUUUGAUCAUGGCUCAGAUUGAACGCUAGCGGGAUGCUUUACACAUGCAAGUCGAACGGGGUGAGGGGGCAACCUCUCAUUCAGUGGCGAACGGGUGAGUAAUGCAUCGGAACGUGUCCCGUAGUGGGGGAUAACGCCGCGAAAGCGGCGCUAAUACCGCAUACGCUCUGUGGAGGAAAGCAGGGGACCCGCGAGGGCCUUGUGCUAGGGGGGCGGCCGAUGUCCGAUUAGCUUGUUGGUGGGGUAAUGGCCUACCAAGGCAACGAUCGGUAGCUGGUCUGAGAGGAUGAUCAGCCACACUGGGACUGAGACACGGCCCAGACUCCUACGGGAGGCAGCAGUGGGGAAUUUUGGACAAUGGGGGCAACCCUGAUCCAGCCAUGCCGCGUGCGGGAAGAAGGCCUUCGGGUUGUAAACCGCUUUUAGCCGGGAAGAAAAGGCAGAGGCCAAUACCUUCUGUUUUUGACGGUACCGGCGGAAUAAGCACCGGCUAACUACGUGCCAGCAGCCGCGGUAAUAC